GUGGACUGUAUGUAGUCCACCAGGCUCCUCCGUUCAUGGGAUUCUCCAGGCAAGAAUACUGGAGUGAACUCCCAUUUCCUUCUCCAGGGGAUCUUCCCGACCCAGGGAUCGAACCCAGGUCUCCCACGUUGCAGCUUCACCCUGGUGGCUCAGAUGCUAAAGAAUCUGUCUGCAACGCAGGACACCCAGGUUUGAUCCCUCGGUUGGGAAGAUCCCGUCGAGAAGGACAUGGCAACCCACUCCAGUGUUCUUGCUUGGAGAAUUCCAGGGACAGAGGAGCCUGGCAGGCUACAGUCCAUGGGGCCGCGAAGAGUCGGACACGACUAAGCGACCAACGCUUGCAGUUUCUUCAAGCUCCUGCGGCCCCUGGUGUUUCCUGGCUUAUGGUGAUGGUGUAUCUCUCCAAUAUCUGCUUCUGUGCUCACAUGGUCACUGGAAGAGUCAGCAUCUGUUACCUGUGAAUCCGUGCACCUGCUCCUGUCCAUCCCCCUCUGAGGACCAGCUGUGAGUUCUGUGAACGCCUCAGCCUCUGAGUGCCCAAAGCCCGCUGACCAUGCUCACCAAAUGUUUGUGAAGUGCCGAG
Dama dama (fallow deer) is the source of this 583-nucleotide long non-coding RNA. RefSeq lists it as uncharacterized. Lineage: Eukaryota; Metazoa; Chordata; Mammalia; Artiodactyla; Cervidae. The record is from RefSeq and is a predicted model, not a curated record. The transcript has 3 exons.